GACGAACGCUGGCGGCGUGCUUAACACAUGCAAGUCGAACGGAAAGGCCCUGCUUUUGUGGGGUGCUCGAGUGGCGAACGGGUGAGUAACACGUGAGUAACCUGCCCUUGACUUUGGGAUAACUUCAGGAAACUGGGGCUAAUACCGGAUAGGAGCUCCUGCUGCAUGGUGGGGGUUGGAAAGUUUCGGCGGAUGGGGAUGGACUCGCGGCUUAUCAGCUUGUUGGUGGGGUAGUGGCUUACCAAGGCUUUGGCGGGUAGCCGGCCUGAGAGGGUGACCGCCCACAUUGGGACUGAGAUACGGCCCAGACUCCUACGGUAGGCAGCAGUGGGGAAUAUUGCACAAUGGGCGGAAGCCUGAUGCAGCAACGCCGCGUGCGUGAUGACGGCCUUCGGGUUGUAAACCGCUUUCGCCUGUGACGAAGCGUGAGUGACGGUAAUGGGUAAAGAAGCACCGGCUAACUACGUG
RNAcentral lists this ribosomal RNA (468 nucleotides) under uncultured bacterium. Its description in RNAcentral is "partial 16S ribosomal RNA". It matches the Rfam family "Bacterial small subunit ribosomal RNA", at positions 28 to 507 of the family's 1533-position model. The record is from RNAcentral.